RNAcentral lists this ribosomal RNA (1492 nucleotides) under uncultured marine bacterium. RNAcentral's name for it is "16S ribosomal RNA". It matches the Rfam family "Bacterial small subunit ribosomal RNA". The record is from RNAcentral.
GAGUUUCAUCAUGGCUCAGAUUGAACGCUGGCGGCAGGCCUAACACAUGCAAGUCGAGCGCGAAAGCACUUCGGUGUGAGUAGAGCGGCGGACGGGUGAGUAACGCGUAGGAAUCUACCUAGUAGUGGGGGACAACUCGGGGAAACUCGAGCUAAUACCGCAUAAGCCCUACGGGGGAAAGCGGGGGACCUUCGGGCCUCGCGCUAUCGGAUGAGCCUGCGUAGGAUUAGCUAGUUGGUGGGGUAAAGGCCCACCAAGGCGACGAUCCUUAGCUGGUCUGAGAGGAUGAUCAGCCACACUGGAACUGAGACACGGUCCAGACUCCUACGGGAGGCAGCAGUGGGGAAUAUUGCGCAAUGGGCGAAAGCCUGACGCAGCCAUGCCGCGUGUGUGAAGAAGGCCUUAGGGUUGUAAAGCACUUUCAAUUGGGAAGAAAAGUUUGUCGUUAAUAGCGCCAAGCUCUGACAUUACCUUUAGAAGAAGCACCGGCUAACUCCGUGCCAGCAGCCGCGGUAAUACGGAGGGUGCGAGCGUUAAUCGGAAUUACUGGGCGUAAAGCGUACGUAGGCGGAUCAGAAAGUAUGGGGUGAAAUCCCAGGGCUUAACCCUGGAACUGCCUCAUAAACUCCUGGUCUUGAGUUCGAGAGAGGUGAGGGAAUUUCAAGUGUAGAGGUGAAAUUCGUAGAUAUUUGGAGGAACACCAGUGGCGAAAGGCGGCUCACUGGCUCGAUACUGACGCUGAGGUACGAAAGUGUGGGGAGCAAACAGGAUUAGAUACCCUGGUAGUCCACGCCGUAAACGAUGUCAACUAUCUGUUGGAAAGCAUUGCUUUUCAGUGGAGCAGCUAACGUAAUAAGUUGACCGCCUGGGGAGUACGGCCGCAAGGCUAAAACUCAAAUGAAUUGACGGGGACCCGCACAAGCGGUGGAGCAUGUGGUUUAAUUCGAUGCAACGCGAAAAACCUUACCUACUCUUGACAUACUUGGAGGCUCUUGUAAUGAGAGUGUGCCUUUUGGAACCAAGAUACAGGUGCUGCAUGGCUGUCGUCAGCUCGUGUCGUGAGAUGUUCCGUUAAGUCGGAUAACGAGCGCAACCCUUACCCUUAUUUGCCAGCGAUUCGGUCGGGAACUAUAAGGGGACUGCCGAUGAUAAACCGGAGGAAGGUAAGGACGACGUCAAGUCAUCAUGGCCCUUACGAGUAGGGGUACACACGUGCUACAAUGGGAGAUACAGACGGACGCUAAGCCGCGAGGUGGUGCUAAUCCUAAAAAGUCUUUCGUAGUCCGGAUUGGAGUCUGCAACUCGACUCCAUGAAGUCGGAAUCGCUAGUAAUCGUGAAUCAGAAUGUCACGGUGAAUACGUUCCCGGGCCUUGUACACACCGCCCGUCACACCAUGGGAGUGGGUUGCAAAAGAAGUGGGUAGACUAACCUUCGGGAGGUCGCUCACCACUUUGUGAUUCAUGACAGGGGUGAAGUCGUAACAAGGUAACC